GAUGAACGCUGGCGGCGUGCUUAACACAUGCAAGUCGAACGAAGAUGCCGGAGUGCUUGCACUUUGGCAGACUGAGUGGCGGACGGGUGAGUAACGCGUGGGUAACCUGCCUUAUACAGGGGGAUAACAGUUGGAAACGACUGCUAAUACCGCAUAAGCGCACGGUAUCGCAUGAUACAGUGUGAAAAAACUCCGGUGGUAUAAGAUGGACCCGCGUCUGAUUAGCUUGUUGGUGAAGGUAACGGCCCACCAAAGGCGACGAUCAGUAGCCGGCCUGAGAGGGUGAACGGCCACAUUGGGACUGAGACACGGCCCAAACUCCUACGGGAGGGCAGCAGUGGGGGAAAUAUUGCACAAUGGGGGAAACCCGUA
RNAcentral lists this ribosomal RNA (372 nucleotides) under uncultured bacterium. RNAcentral describes it as "bacterial SSU rRNA". It matches the Rfam family "Bacterial small subunit ribosomal RNA", at positions 28 to 386 of the family's 1533-position model. The record is from RNAcentral.